RNAcentral lists this ribosomal RNA (497 nucleotides) under uncultured bacterium. RNAcentral describes it as "partial 16S ribosomal RNA". It matches the Rfam family "Bacterial small subunit ribosomal RNA", at positions 28 to 507 of the family's 1533-position model. The record is from RNAcentral.
GAUGAACGCUGGCGGCGUGCCUAAUACAUGCAAGUCGAGCGAACAGAUGAGGAGCUUGCUCCUCUGACGUUAGCGGCGGACGGGUGAGUAACACGUGGAUAACCUACCUAUAAGACUGGGAUAACUUCGGGAAACCGGAGCUAAUACCGGAUAAUAUAUUGAACCGCAUGGUUCAAUAGUGAAAGACGGUUUUGCUGUCACUUAUAGAUGGAUCCGCGCCGCAUUAGCUAGUUGGUAAGGUAACGGCUUACCAAGGCAACGAUGCGUAGCCGACCUGAGAGGGUGAUAGGCCACACUGGAACUGAGACACGGUCCAGACUCCUACGGGAGGCAGCAGUAGGGAAUCUUCCGCAAUGGGCGAGAGCCUGACGGAGCAACGCCGCGUGAGUGAUGAAGGUCUUCGGAUCGUAAAACUCUGUUAUUAGGGAAGAACAAAUGUGUAAGUAACUAUGCACGUCUUGACGGUACCUAAUCAGAAAGCCACGGCUAACUACGUG